Molecule: ribosomal RNA, 253 nt
Filed under: uncultured bacterium
Lineage: Bacteria
Description: partial 16S ribosomal RNA
Rfam family: Bacterial small subunit ribosomal RNA
Source: RNAcentral
UACGUAGGGUGCGAGCGUUAAUCGGAAUUACUGGGCGUAAAGUGUGCGCAGGCGGCUUGGCAAGUCGAGUGUGAAAUCCCCGGGCUUAACUCGGGAAUUGCGCUCGAAACUACCUGGCUAGAGUGUGGCAGAGGAAGGUGGAAUUCCACGUGUAGCGGUGAAAUGCGUAGAGAUGUGGAGGAACACCGGUGGCGAAGGCGGGUCUCUGGGCAGUAACUGACGCUGAGGAGCGAAAGCGUGGGGAGCGAACAGG